This 310-nucleotide unclassified non-coding RNA is filed under the name plant metagenome. RNAcentral's name for it is "partial contains 5.8S ribosomal RNA, internal transcribed spacer 2, and large subunit ribosomal RNA". The stretch from base 1 to 105 matches the Rfam family "5.8S ribosomal RNA", at positions 50 to 154 of the family's 154-position model. The record is from RNAcentral.
GAAAUGCGAUAAGUAGUGUGAAUUGCAGAAUUCAGUGAAUCAUCGAAUCUUUGAACGCACAUUGCGCCCCUUGGUAUUCCAUGGGGCAUGCCUGUUCGAGCGUCAUUUGUACCCUCAAGCUCUGCUUGGUGUUGGGUGUCUGUCCCCGUCUCCGCGCGUGGACUCGCCCCAAAGUGAUUGGCAGCCGGCGUACUGGUCCCGGAGCGCAGCACAUGUCGCGCAAACGAGUGCCUUGGUACGGCGGCGUCCAUAAGCCCCUCUCUCACGCUCUUGACCUCGGAUCAGGUAGGGAUACCCGCUGAACUUAAGC